CUAGGGAGCGAUGGUGCGUGUGUGCGCGUGGGGUGAGGGGUGUGGGCGUGAGAAAUCCCGGCCCAGCCACAGAGGAAGUGCGCGUGCCCGACGGUGCAAUGAUGUGUCUUGAUUUCCCCGGAGUGAGGGGUGGGGGUAGGUCUCCCCGCACAGUUGUGGGGUGGGGAUGCUGCAGGGAAUGGUGGCCCAGGACGGGCCCGUUUUCUCCUCCUUCACUGGCCUCUGCUCUUGUUCUUUCCUUUGAAGCAGCAGGCGCUGCCCAGCGUCGCAGCCGCGAUACCAGGCUAGAUGGGCCCCUGCUCUCACUGGGCCUGGCAGGUCCUGAGCAGCAGCUUGUGCAUCCCCCAGAGCCUGGACGUGCAGGGAGGUGGCGGGGGGCAUCUACCAGGCAGAGCUGUCCCUGUACGGAGACCCAGUGCGGGAAGACAUGCGGGAGCCGAAGUUCACAGCUGCUGUGGGUGAGAAGCCCAUUCCUCUCCUUUGGCAGGAGCUUUGUGGGCUCUGGAGGGCAGGGGGCAGUGUCAGAGCCAGGGGAGGCUGGAGACCGGCCCCGCUCGACGCCCAGAUGCUCGAGAGAGAUUGUUCUGUUGCCCCUCGUUCCCGGUGGAAGGAGAUUCUGAGACGGUGACAUGGUAAAAACAUGCACGUAGGGCUUGUGUCCACCUGGAGCUGGGCUGGAGCAGAACUGCGCCUCACUCCGAAUUUACAGGCCCUGGCACUGCUGCAUGCUGUAGUUCUGGCUGGAUCACCGUAGCGGAGCUUUCUGUCACCUCGAGAGAGGAACCCAACUGGCUCUUGGAUACUCAGCUGCUGUGGUGCUGGCAGCGGUGUAAAACUCUUAAGCCAGCCAGACUGCUUUGUGGGGUAGCUAUCCUUGUUCCCACCCUGAAUUCGUCUCUCCGCCUUCCAGCCUUGGCCCUUCCUUCUGCCCUUUCCUGCUAGAGCAAAGAGCUGCCAGAAAUCUCCUUGUGGCUGUGCUCGGCUGCCCAGCGCAGUGCUCUGUAGCCCCAGCGAACCAUCCUGGUCAGACAGUUCUCAAGCUGCACUGGGAAACUAGGUAAGUUGUUUGUCCCGCUGCUCCAGCCCCCCCUUACCCUCCUCUGGUGGUUAGAAACCUCUUCUUCCAGCCUGCAUUUACUCCUGGCCAUUUAUCCCCGUUUGUUUUUGUGCCAAUGCUGUCCCUUAGUAUCAGGAGCCCUUCUUCCUCCCUGGUGGUUUGGGUGCCAGCCGCUUGCUUUACCAGUUGGGAGUUGAGAUUUCCUUCCAGAAUCCCUGGUAAAGGUCCUCAGCAGCAUUGUGCCAGGAACAGAUCCCUCCUUGCAUGAGGGUUCCCCCAUUGGCUGCUGUUCUCUGAGAUCUGCUCGGCUGUGUCCAAGAUGUUGGUAUUGCAGACGUGAGGAGGAUUCGCAGACCGGCCGAAGGGGCUGGGAUGUGCCUGUCUCCCGGUUGGUAUAACAACAAGAACUGAGGGCCAGAUUCUAAAGAGAUCUGGGCACCUGAGAAGUAGAUAAAAGCACCCACUAGGCCCCUGUUGGCUUUUUAAGUGUCCAAACAGCUGUCAGUCUAGCCUGGGUGUCUGAAUUCCAUGAGCUGCAGUGAAUCAGGACCUGCAGCCCUUUG
This is a long non-coding RNA of Gopherus agassizii (Agassiz's desert tortoise), 1620 nucleotides long. The record is from Ensembl. Lineage: Eukaryota; Metazoa; Chordata; Testudines; Testudinidae.